GAACAAUGAUAAAAGCCACAGUCCCUACUCUGGCAGCUGCUGGGCUGGUGGCAGAAGUUGUCUCAUCUGCUUUUCCCCACCAUUCUGGGAGCACUAGUAGCUUUGACUAUACACAGCUAUCAGAAGAGGGAGAGUUCAGCCUAGACCAGGGGUUGGUCCACAAACCUUUAUGGCAAAGGGCCGAACAGUAAAUAUUUUAGGUUUUGUGGGCCCCAUAGUCUCCACUGCAAGUACUCCACUGUGCUAUGGUCACACAAAAGCAGUCAUAGACAAUAUGUGAAGGAAUGAGUAUGACUAUGUUCCAAUAAAAGUUUACAGGUGCAGAAAUUUGAAUUUUAUAUAAUUUUCAUGUGUCCCAAACUAUUAUUCUUCUUUUCAGCCAUUUAAAAACAUAAAAACCAUCCUUGCAUUGUGAGCUGUAUCAAAUCAGAGGAUGAGAACAUGGACGCAGGUUUGGGGUCCCUGCUUCCUACCCUAGCUGAGUGCUGGGGGAACAGGCUGUAGAAUAGAUGCCUCAGGUCAACAUGGGGGGCUCCCAGGGUGGAAAGACUAGGGUCUCCCUUCCCAAGGUGAGUUCUGGAGUGACUGUGAGCCCUAGUGAAGCUUCAUGUCCCCCAUGGUACCAGAGCAGCAGAGCAACGGUGGCCAAGGGGCCUGGACAGAAUACCCUGGAGCCAGCUUUGUGACAGGCCCCUACAAAUGAUAAGGACAAAGAGUCAAAGUUCCUGAGCCUCCAUUUCAAAGGAGAGAAGAAGAUGAUGAUGGCUGGCCAGCAAAUUCAGAGAAGACUGGGUUGGAAGGCGAGAUCUGCCUGGACUCUACAACCAGAGGCCAUUACAAGAUGGUGUCCCCUUGGCCAAUACAGCAGGGGAAACAGCUGAUGCCCAAAGACCGCAUGGUUUGGAGGAGGCUCUCCUCAGAGAAGAAGUGGCCUGCCUCCACUCCUCUGGGUUCCCUAGAGCUGGUCCUCUUCUCCCUGAAGGCUGUCACAGUUCCUGUGCAGAGAGAGAGGGCACUGCAGCACCCAGGCGCUGACUGCCUUUUGUCAGUCUCAUUUGCAGGCCCCCAGCUGGAGAACCCAGGAGGAAGAGGAAAAAAGUUUUUUCCUCCUCUACACUCCCCAUGCAUGACUAAAGAGUAGGAGGAGUCAGCAAGACAUAUAUAGUACCCAGGAGGUGGACAAACAACUGCCUUGGUGGAAACUCUGUCCUUUCUGGACUUAUCCUGGUGCCACUGAGACUGUGCAGGUCCCACACUUACAGGGAAAGCAUCACCCGAAAGUGAGAAUGCCUAGAGGCAGGAAUCAUGGAGGCUUCCUUAACCGUCUGUCUGCAACAGCAGGUGCUAGAGAUGACACUGCAGAGUAGAGAACAAAGGAAUCUUAGUAAUUGUUCAAUCCAAUCUCCACACUUUAAAGAUGAAGAAACUGGUAUUGAGAAAAAUACACAGCUUAUCCAAGGUUGCACUGCUGGUUGGUAGCUGAGAUGAAUUUAGAACCCACAUCUGAUGACUACACCAUAUUGCUCCCAGUUUUCCUGUCUGUUCCACAUGUAAAAGUCUGACUCUUCACUUCUCCUUUGAGUAUAUAGACUUUUAACAUUUUUGUAUGUCAAGAUGGACUUUUCCUCAUACCCAGCCCCUGCCUUUUCUCCUCCCUUCAUACCUUGCAGGAUCUUUAACAGAAUUUAAAAGGAGUUUUUUGUUUUGUUUUGAUGUAUCUAAUAAAAGUCAAGGGAGGGAGAGGGCCAGUAUAAGCAAGAGUACAGUUUCCUAGUUUGUAGAUGCGGUAGUCUGAGGAAUCAGAAACACACAAAGGUUUGGAGAACUGGUACAUGCUCCCAGGUGGGAAGCCAGGACUCUUGGUAGGAUCUUGAGGACAAGGCAAAGGACAAUAAGAGAGCGAGGGGAUCCUAGAGGUGGAAUCAAGGAAGAGAAACUAGAGAGAGAAAAAGGAACUGGCUAUCCAUCCAUGAUGGAUCCUGUGUGGACUGAUGGGUGGCUUGGCAUCAUCCUUUAGUAGACUUCAUGUGGUUGAAUAAUUGGCCAAUGGAAGGAAUUUCUUUUUUGGUAACAGACUCUGUGUGUACAGUUAUGGGUCUUAAUUUAUAAUAAAAGGUUACAUUGAAAAUUGAGCA
Long non-coding RNA from Homo sapiens (human), 2135 nucleotides. Ensembl annotates it as long intergenic non-protein coding RNA 2532. The record is from Ensembl. NCBI's taxonomy places the organism in Eukaryota, Metazoa, Chordata, Mammalia, Primates, Hominidae.